CCUUUAAAAUAGCGUCAAAGCUUAAUUAUUAAUACAACAAAUCCCCUAAACAAAUUAGAACCCCACCUUAAUACUGAAUAAUUCUAUACAUUUAUAGAAGUCAUUAUGUUAAAACUAGUAACACGAAGAUAACCUUCUCUUAAAUGCAAGCUUAAGUCAGAGCGGGUAGUACACUGACAUUUAACAGCUUAAACCAAAGUGAUAACCUGACCAAGAAAACCUCACUAAACCACCUGUUAAUCUAACACAAGAGCAUUUUAAGAAAGACUAAAAGAGAAAGAAGGAACUCGGCAAAACUGAUUCCGCCUGUUUACCAAAAACAUCGCCUCCUGAACUAAAACUAUAAGAGGUCUAGCCUGCCCAGUGACUCUGUUUAACGGCCGCGGUAUCCUAACCGUGCGAAGGUAGCGUAAUCACCUGUUUUUUAAUUAAAGACCUGUAUGAAAGGCAUCACGAGAAUCGAACUGUCUCCUUUCCCAAGUCAGUGAAACUAAUCUCCUCGUGAAAAAGCGAGGAUACCUAUACAAGACGAGAAGACCCUUUGGAGCUUAAGACAACAUAAACACAUGCUCACUACACUUAAUUUUAUACCCCAUAAAGCAUAAUGUUUAUAAGUCUUGGGUUGGGGCAACCACGGAGUAUAAACUAACCUCCGAGAUGAACGAAACUUUCCUUAACAAAAAGCAACAACUUUAUGUAUCAGUAAACUGACAUAUUUUGACCCAAUUAUAAAUUGAUUAACGAACUAAGUUACCCUAGGGAUAACAGCGCAAUCCACUUCAAGAGUUCAUAUCGAAAAGUGGGCUUACGACCUCGAUGUUGGAUCAGGGUGCCCUGGUGGUGCAGCCGCUACCAAAGGUUCGUUUGUUCAACGAUUAAAACCUCACGCG
RNAcentral lists this ribosomal RNA (890 nucleotides) under Eleutherodactylus rivularis. RNAcentral's name for it is "partial 16S ribosomal RNA". It matches the Rfam family "Bacterial large subunit ribosomal RNA", at positions 1121 to 2602 of the family's 2925-position model. The record is from RNAcentral. Lineage: Eukaryota; Metazoa; Chordata; Amphibia; Anura; Eleutherodactylidae.